AUUGAACGCUGGCGGCAGGCCUAACACAUGCAAGUCGAGCGGUAGAGAGAAGCUUGCUUCUCUUGAGAGCGGCGGACGGGUGAGUAAUGCCUAGGAAUCUGCCUGGUAGCGGGGGAUAACGCUCGGAAACGGACGCUAAUACCGCAUACGUCCUACGGGAGAAAGCAGGGGACCUUCGGGCCUUGCGCUAUCAGAUGAGC
RNAcentral lists this ribosomal RNA (200 nucleotides) under uncultured bacterium. Its description in RNAcentral is "partial 16S ribosomal RNA". It matches the Rfam family "Bacterial small subunit ribosomal RNA", at positions 30 to 230 of the family's 1533-position model. The record is from RNAcentral.